Molecule: long non-coding RNA, 473 nt
Filed under: Panax ginseng (ginseng)
Lineage: Eukaryota; Viridiplantae; Streptophyta; Magnoliopsida; Apiales; Araliaceae
Description: long non-coding RNA (PGIN_LNC011826)
Source: RNAcentral
UGGCAAACAUUUUGAUCCUCGAAACCAUUAGCAAUGAAGCAACAUGCUUAAGACAGAGAGAGCUAGGGAGAGAGAGAGAUGGCAACAACAACAACUUGUAUGAAUUCCUCCGGCCCCCUUCAAUUCAAUUCUUGUACAACUAUUUUCUCUCUCCUCUUUCUAUUAAUUUGAGAUUUUUGAAGAUGAACUCUACAAGAUUGUUGGCUCUUCCGGUCAUCCGAUUCAUUUUUAUGGGGAUACUUCUGGGACUAAGCCAGGCUCGGGGAUUCGGUGCUCCAGUAGCUGCACCAAAUGGUCCGAUCAGUGACGGCUCAGCAAUUGAUCAAGGCGUUGCUUAUGUCCUUUUGCUUCUAGCUCUUGCCAUUACUUACCUACUCCAUUAAUUCUUUCCAUGUUUUUUUUUUGUUUAUUCGACCAAAUUCUUUAUGUAUUUCUUCUAUUAGCUAGGAGAUACUUCCCCAUUUGGAUUCAUC